This 294-nucleotide long non-coding RNA is filed under the name Capsicum annuum. Its description in RNAcentral is "long non-coding RNA (CANN_LNC005017)". The record is from RNAcentral. Lineage: Eukaryota; Viridiplantae; Streptophyta; Magnoliopsida; Solanales; Solanaceae.
UGAGGUCUAGGGAGGGUGAAAUGUAUGCAGUCGAUAUCACUACCUCCGAAGAAGUAGAGAGCCUAUUUCCAAUAGACCCCCAGCUCAAGAGAGAGAAUAGUAUAGAAAGUUCGUAAUGCAACUCGAAACAGGGUGUAUAACACAACAGAAAUAAUCGAUAAAAUAAUACUAGUAAAUAUCAAGGAAAUACAAAAUAAGUAAAGUAUAAGCAAUACAAAAUAAGAAAUAGGAAAAUGGAUAUUAUCCUAGUAGUAAACAAUACACUCAAAGACCUAAGAGGACUAACACCCCCGC